CCUACGGGUGGCAGCAGUAGGGAAUAUUGCACAAUGGGGGAAACCCUGAAGCAGCAACGCCGCGUGGAGGAUGAAGGUUUUCGGAUUGUAAACUCCUUUUGUUAGAGAAGAUAAUGACGGUAUCUAACGACUAAGCACCGGCAAACUCCGUGCCAGCAGCCGCGGUAAUACGGGGGGUGCAAGGGUUACUCGGAAUCACUGGGCGUAAGGAGCGCGUAGGCGGGAUGGCAAGUAAGAGGUGAAUUCCUAUGGCUUAACCAUAGAACUGCAUUUGAAACUGUUAUUCUAGGGUAGGGGAGAGGUAGUUGGAAUUCAUGGUGUAGGGGUAAAAUC
This 333-nucleotide ribosomal RNA is filed under the name uncultured bacterium. RNAcentral describes it as "partial 16S ribosomal RNA". It matches the Rfam family "Bacterial small subunit ribosomal RNA", at positions 338 to 688 of the family's 1533-position model. The record is from RNAcentral.